AGUGACGAUAGCCUAGGAGAUACACCUGUUCCCCAUGCCGAACACAGAAGUUAAGCCCUAGUACGCCUGAUGUAGUUGGGGGUUGACCCCUGUUAGAUACGGUAGUCGCUUAGC
This 114-nucleotide ribosomal RNA is filed under the name Streptococcus thermophilus. The record is from RNAcentral. Lineage: Bacteria; Bacillati; Bacillota; Bacilli; Lactobacillales; Streptococcaceae.